Molecule: non-coding RNA, 919 nt
Filed under: Trichomonas vaginalis G3
Lineage: Eukaryota; Parabasalia; Trichomonadida; Trichomonadidae
Description: Eukaryotic large subunit ribosomal RNA
Rfam family: Eukaryotic large subunit ribosomal RNA
Source: Rfam by way of RNAcentral
AUGAGGUUCUCACUGUCCCAAACUGUCUCUCAGCGAACCAACUGUAGUGGGAACGGUCACUAGAUAUCCAGCGGGGAAAGAAGACCCUGUAGAAGCUUCACUUUGGUCUAGUCUUGUAUAGUUCCUGCGGGGGUGUAGACUAGGUGGGAGAGCAAUCGAUUCUGAAAAACCACUACCCUGUUUGGAAUUAUGCUUACCUAUCACAAGGAAUAGGACUAGAUAGAAAGUUUGGCUGGGGCGGCACACCUUCGAAAGAGCAGCGAAGGUGUCCUAAGUUGAGCUCAGUGAGGACAGAAAUCUCACGUUGAGGAUAAGGCCAAAAGCUCAAUUUACUGUGCCUUUUUGUACUAGGAUCAGUUACGAAAGUAAGGCCUAACGAUCCCUAAAUAGCCUCAGGUGCGUGAGGAUUGGGGUGACAGACAAGUUACCUCCGGGACAACUGGCUUGUGGCUGCUAAGAGAUCAAAUCAACGCAGCUUUUUGAUUCUUCGAUGUCGGCUCUUCCUAUCCUAGUGAUGUACAAGUUGCUAAGGGUCGGAUUGUUCACCCGUAUUAGGGAUCGUGAGCUGGGUUUAGACCGUCGUGAGCCAGGUUUGUUUUAUCCUACUGGAUAUAGCAUCAUGAUAGUAGAUUGAUUUAGUACGAGAGGAACUGUUGAUUAUGGCCUCUGGUUAGCGAUUAUCGGAAACGGUAUGUCGCGCAGCUACGCCGUCUGGGAUAAUGGCUGAAAGCCUCUUAAGCCAGAAGCCCAUCUAGAAAGUGAUGCACGUGAUGUUGGACCGAUACGAAUAAUCAUACUCAAAAGGUCCGCUUCAUAGGUAACCCAAUGUAGAAGACAUUGUGUGAACGAAGGUACUGUAAGCAGUGGAGUGGCAUUACGUCCACGACCUGUUGAGGUUCAGCUUCGCUUCUAGGUUUCC